GCGAAGACCCUUCCGUUUUCUUGGGGGUGUACGCGAAGAACCUUACCUACUCUUGACAUCCAGAAAACUUUCCAGAGAUGGAAGGGUGCCUUCGGGAACUCUGAGACAGGUGCUGCAUGGCUGUCGUCAGCUCGUGUUGUGAAAUGUUGGGUUAAGUCCCGCAACGAGCGCAACCCUUAUCCUUUGUUGCCAGCGGUUCGGCCGGGAACUCAAAGGAGACUGCCAGUGAUAAACUGGAGGAAGGUGGGGAUGACGUCAAGUCAUCAUGGCCCUUACGAGUAGGGCUACACACGUGCUACAAUGGCGUAUACAAAGAGAAGCGAACUUGCGAGAGUAAGCGGACCUCAUAAAGUACGUCGUAGUCCGGAUUGGAGUCUGCAACUCGACUCCAUGAAGUCGGAAUCGCUAGUAAUCGUAGAUCAGAUGCAGUUAGC
Molecule: ribosomal RNA, 434 nt
Filed under: uncultured bacterium
Lineage: Bacteria
Description: bacterial SSU rRNA
Rfam family: Bacterial small subunit ribosomal RNA
Source: RNAcentral